UGGGGAAUAUUGGGCAAUGGGCGCAAGCCUGACCCAGCAACGCCGCGUGAAGGAAGAAGGCUUUCGGGUUGUAAACUUCUUUUGUCAGGGAAGAUGAAGAGACGGUACCUGACGAAUAAGCCACGGCUAACUACGUGCCAGCAGCCGCGGUAAUACGUAGGUGGCAAGCGUUGUCCGGAUUUACUGGGUGUAAAGGGCGUGUAGGCGGGAGAGCAAGUCAGGCGUGAAAACUAUGGGCUUAACCCAUAGCCUGCGUUUGAAACUGUUUUUUCUUGAGUACUGGAGAGGUUGACGGAAGUUCCUUGUGUAGCGGUGAAAUGCGUAGAUAUAAGGAGGAACACCAGUGGCGAAGGCGGUCAACUGGACAGCAACUGACGCUGAGGCGCGAAAGCGUGGGGAGCAAACAGGAUUAGAUACCC
Molecule: ribosomal RNA, 419 nt
Filed under: uncultured bacterium
Lineage: Bacteria
Description: bacterial SSU rRNA
Rfam family: Bacterial small subunit ribosomal RNA
Source: RNAcentral